GACGAACGCUGGCGGCGUGCUUAACACAUGCAAGUCGAACGGAAAGGCCCUGCUUGUGUGGGGUGCUCGAGUGGCGAACGGGUGAGUAACACGGGAGUAACCUGACCUGGGCUUUGGGAUAACUUCAGGAAACGAGGGCUAAUACCGGAUAGGUGCUCCUGCUGCAGGGUGGGGGUCGGAAAGUUUCGGCGGUUGGGGAUGGACUCGCGGCUUAUCAGCUUGUUGGUGGGGUAGUGGCUUACCAAGGCUUUGACGGGUAGCCGGCCUGGGAGGGUGACCGGCGACAUUGGGACUGCGAGACGGACCAGACGCGUACGGGAGGCAGCAGUGGAGAAUAUGGCACAGUGGGGGGAAGCCUGAUGCGGCGGCGCCGCGGGCGGGAUGACGGCCUUCGGGUUGUAAACCGCUUUCGCCUGAGACGACGCGUGGGUGACGGUAAUGGGAGAAGAAGCACCGGCUAACUACGUG
RNAcentral lists this ribosomal RNA (468 nucleotides) under uncultured bacterium. Its description in RNAcentral is "partial 16S ribosomal RNA". It matches the Rfam family "Bacterial small subunit ribosomal RNA", at positions 28 to 507 of the family's 1533-position model. The record is from RNAcentral.